RNAcentral lists this ribosomal RNA (492 nucleotides) under uncultured bacterium. RNAcentral describes it as "partial 16S ribosomal RNA". It matches the Rfam family "Bacterial small subunit ribosomal RNA", at positions 29 to 507 of the family's 1533-position model. The record is from RNAcentral.
AGUGAACGCUGGCGGUAGGCCUAAUACAUGCAAGUCGAACGGCAGCACAGUAAGAGCUUGCUCUUACGGGUGGCGAGUGGCGGACGGGUGAGGAAUACAUCGGAAUCUACUUUUUCGUGGGGGAUUACGUAGGGAAACUUACGCUAAUACCGCAUACGACCUACGGGUGAAAUCAGGGGAUCUUCGGACCUUGCGCGAUUGAAUGAGCCGAUGUCGGAUUAGCUAGUUGGCGGGGUAAAGGCCCACCAAGGCGACGAUCCGUAGCUGGUCUGAGAGGAUGAUCAGCCACACUGGAACUGAGACACGGUCCAGACUCCUACGGGAGGCAGCAGUGGGGAAUAUUGGACAAUGGGCGCAAGCCUGAUCCAGCAACACCGCGUGGGUGAAGAAGGCCUUCGGGUUGUAAAGCCCUUUUGUUGGGAAAGAAAAGCAGCAGGUUAAUACCCCGCUGUUCUGACGGUACCCAAAGAGUAAGCACCGGCUAACUUCGUG